GUGUGGCCAAAAUUGCCCCUUGUCUACCUCCUUAAUUUUUUGGUGGCGAAAGCUUCCUUGGUGGUGGUGGUAGUUGGGGUGGUGAUCGUGGUGGAAAUAAAUAUUUUUGGUGUCUUGAUACAAAUCCCAAGAAUUGGCACAAUUCCCAAGGAACCACCUUCUAAGUGUCUAGACCCUUCCAUGGUGUUAUACUUAAAAUAGGGCUGUUUGGGAAGUUUCUGAUCUAUUUUCCAAGUGCUGAAACCUCUUGAGCGAGUUUGAAAGUCUCCAAAAAAUGCUACUAAAAAUUGCCCGCAUGUGGCCCAGUAGGCGUUGCAGCUGCAUAGAAGCUUUUGGAGUCUGCAACAGAUGAACCUCGUUUUGCCUGGCACUCCGCAGGCAAUUCCACGGGCUGAACCUCGUUUCAGCCUACCACU
RNAcentral lists this unclassified non-coding RNA (416 nucleotides) under Hevea brasiliensis (rubber tree). The record is from RNAcentral. Lineage: Eukaryota; Viridiplantae; Streptophyta; Magnoliopsida; Malpighiales; Euphorbiaceae.